UGCAAACCCAAUGACCCAACAGUCACACGACUCUUCAAAUUCUCUCUCCUUCCCAAUUCCCAUGGUGAUUUCCAAAAAUAUGUCAAUUAAUUCCCUUAAUUAUCUCAACGACUCAACCAUCUCCCUCGCUCCUUUGACUCUCACUUUCUCUCUCUGUCGUUCAAGCCCUUCUCUACCAGGUUUUCCCAUAUGACAUGAUCAUAUUUGAAGAACUGGAAAUUGGAGUUAUGGUGCAAGCCGUUAGAAAGGCAACAACCAUGCUCCGUAACAUUGAUCCAUAAGUUAUGCACCUCAAAUGAAAAGGCUAUACAGUUGGCAUGAUGUUGCUAAGAGAACAGAGAGAGUCUAUGAGCGGGCUCUGACGUGUGCUGAUCAGAGUCUUCUUGAACGGCUUUCAAGGUAAUGCUUGAUCAAUAUGUUAUUCUUCUAUGUUAUGAGGUAUCAUAUGAACUAAAGUGUUAAAAGGCAGUACUGAAAAUGCAGUGAAUGUAAGGAAAUUCUUGAUAAAAUGCAGAUUUUAAAAUGUUAUGAUCUGUUUUCUUUAGGUCGUAUUUUUUUGGCCGAUUGGCCCCUUGAGCUUUGCUUGGCCAGAAGUCUAUUUGGUAAUUAUUCUAGUUGAGCUCUUCUAAGAACUUCCACAAAUGAUUAACUUACACAAACACGUACAACUACCAAGUAGAAAUAAAUCUUACGCAUAAAGCAUAAUAGUACCCAACAUUAUAUUUAAAGGGUAAGUGUUCAUAUUAAUACAUCAGUGGGUCUCCUAUGCGACGCGCCACGCCACCAAUUAAAGGUGUGACACGUUCACACAUGAAGUGGGAACGUAACUGCGAACAACAUAAAUUACCGCUAAAUACAAAACACGAACACUAAAAACAUAAUAAUGUUUCUUGGAUCAAUGGUAAGCCAUGAUAGUUUUAAAACUUUGCUCCACAAUUUAGUCGUGGGUCCGAUGACAAACAGUUGAAUUUCAUCAUUUAUUUUUUUUAUUUUUUUUCAUUUCAUCUCUUGGUUUUCAAUUAUUCUUUUGUGUUAUUAGAGGUUUUCGAUGCGUAGUAAUCUUAUUGUAUCUUGAUUUUUUGGUUUCUUUUGAUUUUAUUUUCAAUCUCUUGCUUUUCAAUGUUUUUUUUUUUGUGUGUGUGUUAUAGAGGUAACUUCUUUUUUAUUUUAUUUUAAAAAAAGUUUGUUUUGUCGAUAUUAUUUUGAGUUAGUGGUAAGUAUAUUUUUAGUUGCUUUUUGGAUCACUAGGGACGUUAAUUUAUUUUAAACGUUUCUCUCCUAAACUAUAAAAGUAUCUAGCCUAAAAUUAUAACAGUAACUCCCCUAAAACUAUAAAAGUACCCGGCCUAAAAUUAUAUGAGUAAAUAAAAAUAAUUGGCCUAAAACUAUAAAAGUGCCUGGACGAAACCUAUGUUACUUUAAUAUUUUACUAGUGUUAUUUUUUCUACGUUAAUGGUGUUACUUUAGACAAUAGGCACAAUUACUAUAAAUAUUCCUAAGUGUUACUUCAAUUUGUAUUUUGAUUUACUUUUAUAGUUUCAAAAAACUAUAAAAGUAUCUAAAAUAAAACUAUAUAUUAAAGUUUUUGACCUAAAAUUAAUAAUAACCCCUAAAACUAUAAAAUUACCUCCCCUAAAACUAUAGAAUUACACUGACUAAAACUAUAAAAGUAAAAAAAUGUAAUUUCCCUAAAAUUAUAAAAGUACCUAGACUACAAAUAUACACUACAAAAAAUUGUACUAUUAACGACGAGAAAUCCCGUCGCGAAAGGCCAAUAAUCGUUAAUUAACGACGGGAUUUCCUGUCGUGAACCCGUCAUAAAAGGGGGCCGUCGUUAAUAGAAAUCCCGUCGUAAAUCCGUCAUAAACCCGUCGUGAAAGACAUUUGCGACGGUUAUUCCCGUCAUUGUUUGGUCUUUUGCGACGGGAUUUUUGACCCGUCGUAAUUAGGUUGUUGUUAAAGAUACAAAUUCUUGUAGUGAUAAAAGCAAUUGGCCUAAAACUAUGGAGAAGGCUAUUGACUGGUGUUACUUGACUUUCUAUGAUGUUGUUACUUGUACAUUGUAUUCGCUGUUUCUUUCUUUUUUACUGCAGUUUCUUGAACUUCAUAUUAAAGAUUCCUUGUAUAGACUGGUAUUACUUGACUCUCUAUGCUGGUGUUACUUAUACAUUGUAUUGGUCGUUACUUUUCCUGUUUUAUUGCAGUUUCAUAUUAUAGGUUCUUUGUAUAGACUGGUGUUACCUGACUUUAUAUAUAUGUUGGUGUUACUUAUACAUUGUAUUCGUCGUUACUUUUCUUGUUUUAUUGCAAUUUCAUAUUAGAGGUUCCUUGUAUAGGCUGGUGUUACUUGAAUUUCUAUGUUGGUGUUACUAUACAUUGUAUUCGAUGUUACUUUUCUUGUUUUAUAGCAGUUUCUUCAAUUUCAUGUCAGAGGUUCCUUGUAUAGACUGGUGUUACUAGACUUUCUAUGUUGGUGUUACUUAUACUUUGUAUUCGCCAUUACUUUUCUUGUUUUAUUGCAGUUUCUUCAAUUCCAUGUUUGAGGUUCCUUGUAUAUACUAUGUUACUUUAUUUUCUAUGUUGGUGUUACUUUUAGGUUUCGUUAACCAGCGUGUUGGGAUUUAAACGCACUGGAUUUAUUUAAGUGUUAACACACCACACCCUCAAGUUGAUGGUGUGGAUGAUCACAUCUAAGACUUGAACUUAAUUUUAAGGCCACCACCAUUUCGAGAUUGACGAGCCCUAGUCGGGGUCAUGCGGGGAAAUAAUGCACCAACAAGCAACAGACACCUUAUGUACCGUAGAAGAAUUAAAGAGUUGGACAAAUUUUGUUCACUUAGUCCUCCAACAAAGGGCUUUUGUGGUGUUACUUAAUAUGUUAAGCACAAUUUCACUUAAAACCUUAUGUACCGUAGAAGAACUAAAGAGUUGGACAAAUUUUGUUCACUUAGUCCUCCAACAGAGGGCUUUUGUGGUGUUACUUAAUAUGUUAAGCACAAUUUCACUUAAAUCCUUAAGGUAGCGUAGAUGUUACUGUAAUAUUUUAUUAGGAUUACUUUUUGUAUGUUAACGACGUUACUUUUAUACAUAGGCAAAUUAAUACUAAUAUUA
Molecule: long non-coding RNA, 3111 nt
Organism: Spinacia oleracea (spinach)
Lineage: Eukaryota; Viridiplantae; Streptophyta; Magnoliopsida; Caryophyllales; Amaranthaceae
Exons: 3
Source: RefSeq, a predicted model, not a curated record